UACAUAAUAGAUAUAUAUACAGUUUUUCCCUACCCUACCCGUCAUCCUCUUUUCUCUUUAUCCUCUCCCUCAAUUUUCCUUCUUUUCCCUUCACCGUGUCUCCCAUCUACCCUUUCUUCUUGCCACCCUAUUGUUUAAGCUUUGAUUUUUGUUUUUCCACCUACCUUGCUGAUCGUUUUACCCUCCUUAAUUAGCCUUAUUUGCUACCCUAAGUCACCUUAAAGCCGCCCCUAUCAGUCUCUUUUAUUGCUCAAUUGUCGCCCCUCUCCAUUGUUGAAGUAGUGCCACUCUAAGAAUUCAUCUUUAUGGCUGACAAAGAUUCCCUCUUGUCUCGCCCUGUUCUGCAUUUUUCUGUCGCCGUUUGUGGUGUUGCCGCCCUUUAAGACACCACCAGUUUGGACAGUCGUUCCCUUUUCAGUUACCACCCUUAUAUCAGUGUGCUUUUCGAGUUAUUCUUUAUUUAUAUCUGGUCUAAACGUUCUAAGUUGGCAAAGUAACCUAGGUGAUCAAUGGCUAACUCAGAUCUCGGUAACGAGUAGUGCAAAAUGUAGAUUUGUGUGAGAUCUCGCACUGUUUCGUUUUGUUGUUAAGUGAUGCUAUGGUCGAAUACCCUAAGGCUUGGAUAUGGAAUUUCGUUGCGGAUUUUUGGGUAUUUAAUGUGAUUUAGGUGCUGAUUUGAACAUCCCGGAUCAACAAUAAAACCAGAUUUCAUCCAUGCCCUCGUUUCGUAGCAAAUCAGUGCAAGUUGUUCAAUCGAAUUGAACCUAAAAUUUUUGGCAUGUAGCACUGAUUUGGCCGAUCCAUUAAAGGGUGUUUCAAGGCUGGUUUUAAUGGUAGUUAAUGUGGUAGUUAUUGUUAUUUGGUGUUAGGUUCGAUUAAGGAGUUAAAUUUGGAACACAAACUUUUUCAGCUUAGUGCUGCGGAUUUUUGAUAAUAAGGUGGGUUCUAACUUGUUAAAAAGUGCUAAAAUUAUGCUUUUAAUGAUUAAA
Molecule: long non-coding RNA, 989 nt
Organism: Gossypium raimondii (Peruvian cotton)
Lineage: Eukaryota; Viridiplantae; Streptophyta; Magnoliopsida; Malvales; Malvaceae
Exons: 2
Source: RefSeq, a predicted model, not a curated record